UAUUGGACAAUGGGCGAAAGCCUGAUCCAGCAAUGCCGCGUGAGUGAUGAAGGCCUUAGGGUUGUAAAGCUCUUUUACCAGGGAUGAUAAUGACAGUACUUGGAGAAUAAGCUCCGGCUAACUCCGUGCCAGCAGCCGCGGUAAUACGGAGGGAGCUAGCGUUGUUCGGAAUUACUGGGCGUAAAGAGUACGUAGGCGGUGAUUCAAGUCAGAGGUGAAAGCCUGGAGCUCAACUCCAGAACUGCCUUUGAAACUAGAUCGCUAGAAUCAUGGAGAGGUUAGUGGAAUUCCGAGUGUAGAGGUGAAAUUCGUAGAUAUUCGGAAGAACACCAGUGGCGAAGGCGACUAACUGGACAUGUAUGACGCUGAGUACAAU
Molecule: ribosomal RNA, 376 nt
Filed under: uncultured bacterium
Lineage: Bacteria
Description: bacterial SSU rRNA
Rfam family: Bacterial small subunit ribosomal RNA
Source: RNAcentral